Melanotaenia boesemani (Boeseman's rainbowfish) is the source of this 166-nucleotide long non-coding RNA. RefSeq lists it as uncharacterized. NCBI's taxonomy places the organism in Eukaryota, Metazoa, Chordata, Actinopteri, Atheriniformes, Melanotaeniidae. The transcript is spliced from 3 exons. The record is from RefSeq and is a predicted model, not a curated record.
AACGCUGAGUUAACGUUGAGUUAAUGCUGAGUCAACGCUGAGAUAACGGUGAUUUAGUGAUAAAGCUGAAUUAACGCUGAGUUAACGUUGAGUUAAUGUUGAGUUAACGUUGAGUUAAUGCUGAGUUAACGCUGAUUUAAUGCUGAGUUAACGCUGAGUUAACGCU